AUCGCUUCUUGGACUUUUGACUAAGAUCAAGUAUAGUAUCUGUUUUUAUCAGUUUAAUAGCUGAUACAUCCUCUCUCCAAGGACAAUAUAUUAAGUGGAUUUUUGAAGCUAGGAGUUGGAAUGGGAGCUUGUUCUGUCCACUCCACACAUUGACUUGGUAUUGCAGGACCUCCAGGAAUGGUGUAAAAUAA
Meriones unguiculatus (Mongolian gerbil) is the source of this 191-nucleotide small nuclear RNA. Its record names the gene U2. It matches the Rfam family "U2 spliceosomal RNA". Rfam says of the family: U2 is a small nuclear RNA (snRNA) component of the spliceosome (involved in pre-mRNA splicing). The record is from Ensembl. NCBI's taxonomy places the organism in Eukaryota, Metazoa, Chordata, Mammalia, Rodentia, Muridae.